Molecule: non-coding RNA, 444 nt
Organism: Penaeus vannamei (Pacific white shrimp)
Lineage: Eukaryota; Metazoa; Arthropoda; Malacostraca; Decapoda; Penaeidae
Source: RefSeq, a predicted model, not a curated record
AUUCACUCUCAGACAACUGCCCAGACGAGACACGCCCACCCGAGGGGGCAAUCAACCAUAACUCUUACAAAUCCUCGGGUUUCCGGUGUGCAUUGUAACAUUGCUGAGCCACGUCACAAAGUACACCCUUCUGCCUGCGUGAGGCGUGAGGCGUGGGGCGUGAGGCGUGAGACACGAGGCGUGAGGCGUGAGGAGUGAGGAGGAGAAGCGGCUAUAAGUCUGAAGAUAGAGAAGAGGAGAGAAAGUGAAGAAAAGUGAAAAGUGGAAAAGAAAAAGUAAAACGUAUCACACCCGGACUUUACGAUCGCAACUUUUGUGACGUAAUCAAAAUCUGACGUCAUGACCUCCUCGAGUUGCUACUGAUCUAGCCUUUCCCUUUGUUAUCCCCUUCAUCACGUUUUUUUAUGUACACGUGUCACCUUCCGACAAGUAUGUAGACUACUA